GUUUUUUAUUUUUUUUUUUUUCAUCGAGCUACAUGGUUUGUCCUCGUAUCACGCCCCGUUGACAUAUCUUCCAGUCAAAAUAAUCUACUGACAUUGAAGGAUGAUGUCAUCAUGUGUAUACUUCUACAUGCAUUGUUUAAUUACAGAUAUAUUGCUUGACAGAAAAUGCGACUCUCGCUCAAGUUGACGAUAAUCAAGAGUUGGAAUUCCUCAGGAAACUAGUCAAGCGAUUUCCUACAGCACCAGCAAGCAGACAUUAUUACUGGAUUGACGGUGUGCGUACUCAUGAUAACCAUUGGGUAAGAAACCUUGACCGCAAUUCUCUUACUUUCUUCUCCUGGGGUACCGGUGAGCCAAAACCCAGUUUCGGCGGAGAAAACUGCUUAGCAUUAUAUAACCAUGUGGAUUUCUUCUUUGCGGACACUUCUUGUCACGAUAACGGCCAGUACAUCUGCGAACUGAGUGACCCCGUUCAGUCCUGCGUACAUACCACGCCCCUACCUACUGCUGACACGAAUGGUUCAUGGAUCCCACUGGGCUGAUCGGGUAAUCUUCAUCGCAUAAUCUUUGUACUGGUAAACAUAAUUUUGUAAAGGAAUAAAUGAACGGUACCAUAA
Pecten maximus is the source of this 617-nucleotide long non-coding RNA. RefSeq lists it as uncharacterized. Lineage: Eukaryota; Metazoa; Mollusca; Bivalvia; Pectinida; Pectinidae. The record is from RefSeq and is a predicted model, not a curated record. The transcript has 3 exons.